Molecule: unclassified non-coding RNA, 100 nt
Filed under: Pseudomonas moraviensis
Lineage: Bacteria; Pseudomonadati; Pseudomonadota; Gammaproteobacteria; Pseudomonadales; Pseudomonadaceae
Description: microRNA mir-598
Source: RNAcentral
ACCCCUUGUAGGAGCUGACGAGUGCAACGAGGCUGCGAUCUUUUGAUUUUGCUUUGAAGAUCAAGAGAUCGCAGCCUCGUUGCACUCGUCAGCUCCUACA